This 108-nucleotide small nuclear RNA is filed under the name Castor canadensis (American beaver). The record is from RNAcentral. Lineage: Eukaryota; Metazoa; Chordata; Mammalia; Rodentia; Castoridae.
AUGCUGUCUUCAGCAACACAUAUACUAAAACUGGAACACUCUGCAGCAGAUCAGCAGUGGCCCCUGCGCAAGGAUGACAGGCAAAUUCACAAAGCCUUCCAUAUUUUU